UGGGGAAUAUUGCACAAUGGGCGCAAGCCUGAUGCAGCGACGCAGCGUGCGGGAUGGAGGCCUUCGGGUUGUAAACCGCUUUUGUUCAAGGGCAAGGCACGGUCUUUGGCCGUGUUGAGUGGAUUGUUCGAAUAAGCACCGGCUAACUACGUGCC
RNAcentral lists this ribosomal RNA (155 nucleotides) under uncultured bacterium. RNAcentral describes it as "partial 16S ribosomal RNA". It matches the Rfam family "Bacterial small subunit ribosomal RNA", at positions 355 to 509 of the family's 1533-position model. The record is from RNAcentral.